UACGGAGGGUGCAAGCGUUAUCCGGAUUCACUGGGUUUAAAGGGUGCGUAGGUGGGCAGGUAAGUCAGUGGUGAAAUCCCCGAGCUUAACUUGGGAACUGCCGUUGAUACUAUCUGUCUUGAAUACUGCGGAGGUAAGCGGAAUAUGUCAUGUAGCGGUGAAAUGCUUAGAGAUGACAUAGAACACCAAUUGCGAAGGCAGCUUGCUACACAGUAAUUGACGCUGAGGCACGAAAGCGUGGGGAGCAAACAGG
Molecule: ribosomal RNA, 253 nt
Filed under: uncultured bacterium
Lineage: Bacteria
Description: partial 16S ribosomal RNA
Rfam family: Bacterial small subunit ribosomal RNA
Source: RNAcentral